AUAGGAUGCAAUUCUAUCGCCUUUUCGCUUGACGAAAGGGAGGAAAGUCCGGACAGCACAGGGCACUGCACUUCUGAAAGAGGAGAUAUCCGUGAGGGUAUGGUCGCGAAGAAGAAAAUAACCGGCUCGACUUGUCGGGUCAAGGGUGAGAAGGUGAGGUAAAAGCUCACCAGUACUAAUGGCAACAUUGGUAGCUGUUCGUCCUGCAGGCUGCAAGACCAUGUAUACCGGCGUUUUAAGGCUGCACGCCUGAGCCGGGGGGUAGGUCGCAUUAGAUAAAUGAUAGAAAUCUCACUUAGGUGAGGAUACAGAAUCUGGCUUAUUGCCUUCUAUUUUU
RNAcentral lists this RNase P RNA (337 nucleotides) under Marinilabiliales bacterium. RNAcentral's name for it is "RNase P RNA component class A". It matches the Rfam family "Bacterial RNase P class A". Rfam says of the family: Ribonuclease P (RNase P) is a ubiquitous endoribonuclease, found in archaea, bacteria and eukarya as well as chloroplasts and mitochondria. Its best characterised activity is the generation of mature 5'-ends of tRNAs by cleaving the 5'-leader elements of precursor-tRNAs. Lineage: Bacteria; Pseudomonadati; Bacteroidota; Bacteroidia; Marinilabiliales. The record is from RNAcentral.